GGUUGUGGCUCAGUGGUAAAGCAUUUGCCUAGCAUGCAUGAAGCACUGGGUUCGAUCCCCAGCACCA
Molecule: transfer RNA, 67 nt
Filed under: Ictidomys tridecemlineatus (thirteen-lined ground squirrel)
Lineage: Eukaryota; Metazoa; Chordata; Mammalia; Rodentia; Sciuridae
Description: Spermophilus tridecemlineatus (thirteen-lined ground squirrel) tRNA
Rfam family: tRNA
About the family: Transfer RNA (tRNA) molecules are approximately 80 nucleotides in length. Their secondary structure includes four short double-helical elements and three loops (D, anti-codon, and T loops).
Source: Rfam by way of RNAcentral